UGAUUUCAGUGAGAAUUGUGGGUUUUUCCUUCUUUAACUGAGGGGUACCAACAAUUUUGUCCACGUGUGUAUUCUCAUGUUUCAGGUGGUUCACAGAGUCUGUGGGGCAUUUGAAAGAUUUAGGGAGGGCCUGAAGACCCUUGGUGUUCUAGAUGCAAUGAGGAUUCAGCCAGACAGUUUCAGACCUUUAAUGUGUCAUGAACCAUCUCCACUCACUGCUGACGCAAUGGAUCAGCUUUUCCACAUCCGCCUGUCUGCUGUGGGAAGCAACAAGAGAAUGGCAGAGGAACGUAUUGUGGCAUUUUGGAGGGAUUACCUGCAGGAUGUAGAAGAGCAAGUGGGUCCCUCAGCACUAGGUAAAAUCCUAGCUUUUGCGACGGGUGCAAGUGUCAUCCCUCCAGUUGGAUUCUCCCCACUGCCAUCAGUUGAUUUCCUGCAUGAUCAGUCCAUCAGCCCUGGACGCUAUUUGCCUAUGGCACACACCUGCAUUAACUGCCUUAAAGCUGCUGUCCGGAGUUUGAAUCGCAGCGUCUCCCAAAACACUGGUGGUCCCACCCUCUGAUUUCGCCCCUUUAUUUGUGCACGCGCGCAGUACAUGAGAGAAGUGCCCGGAGUGCAGCAGCAUUUUGCCUGUUUUGCUGUUUUCCCCUCUUCUACAUUUAGUACAUUUAGUAAAUAAUAAAGGAAUUACGUUAGAAUGCUGUAUUGAGUCUAACUUGUCCUAAUACCAAAAUAACAUGAAUCUGCUAGGACGAACGAGUAAAGUUUCAAUAUGUGAUUACACUCGUGUAUCCCUCUCGAUGACGUUGUUUAUCAAACUUAGUGCAUUUACGCGUGUAUAUGUGUUACAUUGUUUAUUUAUUUCUAUCUAGAGUUCAGAAUUGCAUGACUCCUCUGACGAAGAGUAUGUCCCAGACGCCCCAACAUCUUCCUCCAGAGGUCGGGCAUCUAAACGAAGCCGUCAGGCGGGCUAUGGAGGCCGUGGUCGGGGAGCGACGCGAGCACCCCGAGCCAAAAAACGUCCUGCAGUCUCUUGGCCUGACAAGCCGUGGGAUUGGUAACUUUUCUGGAAGUUGCUGAUCCCUGAUGCUCUCUCCUCCACAAGCAAAACAAAUGUGUGCGCGGUUGCGUAGUGCGUAGCUCGCCCACCUCUGCAUGGGCUUGCUUGCUGUGUGCGUAACCGUUGAUUGACAGCAUGACAAAGCUGAAGCUCGAACUUGAUUGGUCGGCAGCAACCGGCGCUUUUUGGAAUAACAUGGGGGUCUAUGAGAGGAAGGCGGAGCUCAGGAAUAAAUUUUCAUAUCGCGUCAUACUAACAUUAUAUUAUAGUAUCGAACUAGACUAACACAUUUAAGCUUUGUUAAAAAAUGAUACAUAAAUUGAAAACAAACGGAAACUCCGGACAGCAGCUUUAAGUUGCCACUAUUGGAAACAUACGAGGAUUUCAGGGAGAGUAUGGACUUUGCAUUGAGUAACACACAGGGUUUUGGUAGAGAAUAACUUUUGAAGAUUGUGUGUUCCUACCACAAUGCAGUGCUCAGGAUGUUUCAGUUAGAAUGUAUGAACAUAUGAACUGCUGUUUUGGUUUUCUUUCCCCUCUUUGAUUAGGUGUUUGCAGAGGAAAAACAGUUUUGGGGGAAAAAUAUUGUUAAGGAUGUGAUCUUUUACAGGGAUUAGCUGAAAUUUGUUUUUAAAUUUUUGUACCUUUUUUCUGUCACUCAUUUUUGAUCAACAGUGUUGAUUAUAUAUCAGAUUUGUGGUUGUGAGGCAAACUGUUUUGUUCUGGCAUUUCACAUUAAAGCACUGUAUAAAUGCAGCCAUUAACUAUUUGUUACAAAACAACCCAUGGAGUUUAAGCUGUUAGGCAGCUUUUCUACUGUUCACUAAGAAAAUUCACCAGGCCUAAAAAUAAUUGUAUGCCAUGGUUUCCAUCACCAUUCAGUGGGUCUAUGGCUUCGUUAACUCUGUUCAUGACAGUUUCAUUUACAAUAAAGUCAUUAACAGGAACAACUACAUUGUUUUCAGUGUCUAACUGUAGAAGGGUGUCUUCACUGAUUUCCAAGGUAUCAUUUCCAGCAAAACUGUCCUGCAUUGCACUAGCACCGGCACUGUUAAGAACCCCUCUCUGCCACAGCUGAAGAGGUGUUGGUCCUCCCUGUGUGGAUAAUCCAUGAUUGUUCCACUGACUUCUGAAUUCUGCAGCUGCCCUCUGAACUCUUGGCAAGUAGAUAUAGUGUAGACAAAACAUAUGGAGUUCAUCUGUAGAAUCCAGUA
Acanthochromis polyacanthus (spiny chromis) is the source of this 2274-nucleotide long non-coding RNA. RefSeq lists it as uncharacterized. The transcript is spliced from 3 exons. The record is from RefSeq and is a predicted model, not a curated record. NCBI's taxonomy places the organism in Eukaryota, Metazoa, Chordata, Actinopteri, Pomacentridae.